This 253-nucleotide ribosomal RNA is filed under the name uncultured bacterium. RNAcentral describes it as "partial 16S ribosomal RNA". It matches the Rfam family "Bacterial small subunit ribosomal RNA", at positions 524 to 776 of the family's 1533-position model. The record is from RNAcentral.
UACGUAGGGGGCAAGCGUUGUCCGGAAUCAUUGGGCGUAAAGCGCGUGUAGGCGGCCCGAUAAGUCCGCUGUGAAAGUCCAGGGCUCAACCCUGGAAUGCCGGUGGAUACUGUCGGGCUAGAGUCCGGAAGAGGCGAGUGGAAUUCCUGGUGUAGCGGUGAAAUGCGCAGAUAUCAGGAGGAACACCGAUGGCGAAGGCAGGUCUCUGGGCCACUACUGACGCUGAGAAGCGAAAGCAUGGGGAGCGAACAGG